RNAcentral lists this long non-coding RNA (360 nucleotides) under Vigna radiata. RNAcentral describes it as "long non-coding RNA (VRAD_LNC000905)". The record is from RNAcentral. Lineage: Eukaryota; Viridiplantae; Streptophyta; Magnoliopsida; Fabales; Fabaceae.
UGUGAGGUUUGAAAUCAAUGAGAUAUUUAGGAGCACAUUUAGACCGAGUUGAAUGACGAAUGGUAACAUUGUGCUCAUCUAGAGUAGAGGCAUUAUCAGUGGAGGUAUUAGUUAAGUUAGAUUCAACAACAUUGUUUAUAUCUGUGAUACUAUUUGUGUUUGUAGUAGUUUUACUGGAAAUACUAGUAUCAGAAGUAGUAAGCAUAGGAACAAGAUUGUUAGGAAAAUUGAUAUCAUCAUAAUCAUGACUAUAAUUGUGAGGAAUAGAUAAAGAAAGAGAGACAUUUUUAUUAGUAGAAGAAUCAUAUGAAAAAAUAUUUUCAUGAAAUAGCACAUUACAAGAAAUAUCAACCUUAUGGU